This 358-nucleotide ribosomal RNA is filed under the name uncultured Alphaproteobacteria bacterium. Its description in RNAcentral is "bacterial SSU rRNA". It matches the Rfam family "Bacterial small subunit ribosomal RNA", at positions 114 to 507 of the family's 1533-position model. Lineage: Bacteria; Pseudomonadati; Pseudomonadota; Alphaproteobacteria. The record is from RNAcentral.
CGCGUGGGAACGUGCCCUCUUCUUCGGAAUAGCCUCGGGAGACUGGGAGUAAUACCGGAUACGCCCUUUGGGGGAAAGAUUUAUCGGAGGAGGAUCGGCCCGCGUUGGAUUAGGUAGUUGGUGGGGUAAUGGCCUACCAAGCCGACGAUCCAUAGCUGGUUUGAGAGGAUGAUCAGCCACACUGGGACUGAGACACGGCCCAGACUCCUACGGGAGGCAGCAGUGGGGAAUCUUAGACAAUGGGCGCAAGCCUGAUCUAGCCAUGCCGCGUGAGCGAUGAAGGCCUUAGGGUUGUAAAGCUCUUUCAGGGGGGAAGAUAAUGACUGUACCCCCAGAAGAAGCCCCGGCUAACUCCGUG